GAUGAACGCUGGCUCCAGGCUUAACACAUGCAAGUCGAGGGGAAACGACGGGGAAGCUUGCUUCCCCGGGCGUCGACCGGCGCACGGGUGAGUAACGCGUAUCCAACCUGCCUCUGACUGAGGGAUAACCCGUCGAAAGUCGGCCUAAUACCUCAUGGUAUCGUCUGCGGGCAUCCAACGACGAUUAAAGAUUUCAUCGGUCAGGGAUGGGGAUGCGUCUGAUUAGCUUGUUGGCGGGGUAACGGCCCACCAAGGCUACGAUCAGUAGGGGUUCUGAGAGGAAGGUCCCCCACAUUGGAACUGAGACACGGUCCAAACUCGUACGGGAGGCAGCAGUGAGGAAUAUUGGUCAAUGGGCGAGAGCCUGAACCAGCCAAGUAGCGUGCAGGAAGACGGCCCUAUGGGUUGUAAACUGCUUUUAUGCGGGGAUAAAGUGAGGGACGUGUCCCUCAUUGCAGGUACCGCAUGAAUAAGGACCGGCUAAUUCCGU
Molecule: ribosomal RNA, 490 nt
Filed under: uncultured bacterium
Lineage: Bacteria
Description: partial 16S ribosomal RNA
Rfam family: Bacterial small subunit ribosomal RNA
Source: RNAcentral